GCUAAGUUGGAUCAUGAGGACGAGCAGCCCAUAAGGAACUAAGUGCACGAAGGCGUUGGAAAUAGUCACCCAAGGCAAGCAAGCCUCGUGCUGCUUGGUGGGUUGUGAGGAUGCUGUACAUCUGCCUCAAGGCCUGUUGCCGAAGGAGGUCUGCCUGUUUCAAUAUAUAGCAAGAAUGAUUUCAUGUUCAGGUUGAAUACCCAGAAGCAAAUUUCAAAACAAUAUAGAGUUAGUUGUCAUAUAUUCACUUAUGAUUGCUGGUGUAAAAGGAUGAACAUUUUAACAAAAGCACAUAAUACAAUAAGAAUAAUAACAAGAGACCAACUUUUAAACAUUAGAAGUAUUACUUUGUGUGGCAAGUGCAUGUUCAUCACUAUUGAUGCUAUUAAACCAUCCUGCAGAGAGGAAGAGGGUGAAAGGUAAGAGGAAAAGUUUGUGACAUGAACAUCAGGUCAUGCAAACUCAGUUGGAAAACUCAUCCUAAUACUAAAGGCAAAGGCAAUGCAGAUUCAGAACCACAGAAUAGGAUCAGAUGCUAUCUAGAUGAAAAUAAAUGGAUGAAUAGUUAAGAAGAUUAUGAACCUUAAAAAUUUAUAGAGGAUUAAGAAGAUAUCUAUCAGAAACUAGGAAGAAAACAGAAAAGGCAAGCAGUGGACAGUGCUGCAAUUUAAAGAGGCCCUUUGUGUUAUCAAACACAUAAUCCUUUUUGUACAUCUUAUAUUCUGAAAACAUAUGACAUUUAGAAAUUAAGAUUUUGAAAAUGCUAUUUGAUUAUGACAAUACCUAUUGGUUUGUCAUUCUCCAAUUAAUCAUUAGGCAUAUUGUUUUGCGAUCUCAAAGAAACAAGAGGAAAAGAUAACAUACGGCAGAAACUAUGACAUACAUGUGCUCAUAUUCAUACCUACCCAGUAAUUGUUCUAUUCAGCCAAUAAAAUCUGGUUUUAUUCACAUAUUCAUAAGUCCUACACUGAUGCAAAUUAUGGAAGUAAGGUUUAAGGGAACACAAACUACCAAAAAUAAUGACAUCAGCAAAACAAGAGACAAUGGUAUCCAUUACAGAUUAAUUUUAAAUUUUUAUAUUACCUGGUUCACAAAGCUUACAAGAGCCUCCAACUUUCCCAUGGCAUUUGCCAUCUGUUCCAUGUAAUUUGUGACACCAGGUGUGCCUGAAGGGUCACAUGUUAGUGUUUCAGAAAGAGUUUCCUGAAGUCUCUCCAAUCCUUGCGAAAGAGCAUCUUCAGCUUGUUGUGAAGAUUGCCGCAGGCCUGACACAGCGCUCUUUUGUUGCUCUGUCAUAGGGUCUAGUUG
RNAcentral lists this long non-coding RNA (1308 nucleotides) under Musa acuminata (dwarf banana). Its description in RNAcentral is "long non-coding RNA (MACU_LNC008873)". The record is from RNAcentral. Lineage: Eukaryota; Viridiplantae; Streptophyta; Magnoliopsida; Zingiberales; Musaceae.